ACAGUCCUGAUGUGUUCGUUGUAUCCCUUGAGUUUGACCGAACAUUUUUUUGAUCGGGAGCCCGAGUUUCCGGAAUGAGUAAAUGCCUUUCAAAAGGACUUGCGAAUUUUCCGGAACAGGGCACCCACCUGCUGAGAGCGGGUUCAAAACAAAGGAUGAACACGACGGCACGAUUGGGACUUAC
RNAcentral lists this non-coding RNA (184 nucleotides) under Bacillus sp. FJAT-42376. RNAcentral's name for it is "6S RNA". It matches the Rfam family "6S / SsrS RNA". Rfam says of the family: E. coli 6S RNA was the first non coding RNA to be sequenced, but its function was unknown until recently. The record is from RNAcentral. Lineage: Bacteria; Bacillati; Bacillota; Bacilli; Caryophanales; Bacillaceae.